CCUCAUAGCUCAGUUGGUAGAGAAUCUGCCUGCAGUGCAGGAGACCUAGGUUCAAUCCUUGGAUCAGGA
RNAcentral lists this transfer RNA (69 nucleotides) under Capra hircus (goat). It matches the Rfam family "tRNA". From Rfam's summary of the family: Transfer RNA (tRNA) molecules are approximately 80 nucleotides in length. Their secondary structure includes four short double-helical elements and three loops (D, anti-codon, and T loops). Lineage: Eukaryota; Metazoa; Chordata; Mammalia; Artiodactyla; Bovidae. RNAcentral also lists the same sequence under 1 other name. The record is from Rfam by way of RNAcentral.